GCGUAUACUAACGUUGUUGCAGUUAAAAGGCUCGUAGUCGAACUUAUGAUCCUGUGAACCUGGCCCAACUUCGAGUAAGUUGCGCGCCGGUGUGCACGGAUCAUUCUUCUGAAGAGCUGCUCCGCCCUUGAUUGGGUCGUGUGCACGCAAUUCAGAUCAUUUACUGUGAGUAAAUCAAAGUGCUCAAAGCAGGCUUCAAUGCUUGUAUGGUUCAGCAUGGAAUAAUAAGAUAAGACUUCGGUUUUGUUUUGUUGGCUCUACGAACCAAAGUAAUGAUUGAAAGGGAUAGUUGGGGGUGCUAGUAUUCAGUGGUCAGCGGUGAAAUGCGGAGACCCAUUGAAGACUAACUUAUGCGAAAGCAUUCACCAAGGAUGUCUUCUUUAAUCAAGAACGAAAGUUGGGGGAUCGAAGACGAUCAGAUACCGU
This 426-nucleotide ribosomal RNA is filed under the name uncultured Symbiodinium. RNAcentral describes it as "partial Eukaryotic small subunit ribosomal RNA". It matches the Rfam family "Eukaryotic small subunit ribosomal RNA", at positions 597 to 1018 of the family's 1831-position model. Lineage: Eukaryota; Dinophyceae; Suessiales; Symbiodiniaceae. The record is from RNAcentral.